UCAGCACCAGUUAGAAAACACCGGUCUUUAUAUGUGUGUGUUGACUCUGCUGUUAUUGUGAAGACAUUUUUGACUUAGAACAAAUAAUAAACAUCUAUGAUUAGCUUUUGUUUUCAUAACAAUUACCAAUGACAUCUCGCGCUGACGAGACUGAAGAAACCACUGUCUUUCCUGUCAAGACUGUUGUGACUUUAUGAUCCAGAUCACUAUGGUACGCCAUAGCAAACUCCAGAAACAGGUCUUAACCCUUUAUCGACAGUUUCUGCGCGCGGCUCAGGACAAGCCAGGGUUCAUACCGAGAAUACGUGAUGAGUUCCGUGCCAACGCUGCCAUCAAGAAGACGGACGUCAUGCACAUAGAAUAUCUUUAUCGGCGAGCCCAACACCAACUCGAACUGCUUAAAGAUGUAAAUACUAAACAACUUGGAUCAUUCAGCAAGUCUAAAGAGGACAGUUGACCACUCAUAACAACCUAUUUUAUCAUUACUGUAUUCAAACAUUUAACAGAAUGUGUCUUGAAAAGAACAAAUACAUAUUUUUUUCUGGGAAAGCACCUCAACGGCUUUAGUUAUUUAAUCUGAAAGACCAAUGAGACUCUUACUCUUCUCAGGAAAGCUUGCAACGUGAAGUGUUUUAGGAGUUGAAGCUAGAAAAGUUGAACUCAUUCAAGUUUAAAUGUUAUUUAUGCACAUUAACUGGCAGACCCUUUUUUGUUUUGCUGCGAUAUGUUUGUUCUCGUUUUGUUUUGUUUUUUGUAAGUGAGUCUACUAUAUUACUAGAUGUAUUAUGUACUUUUAGAGUGAGUAUAAUGCAGUGUUUUAAAGAUCAUAUAUAUUGGCACUACACUCGAUUCAACACAAAUGUUGGAAUAAUAGUUGAUAUUAUCAGUUAUAUUACUGUCUUUGGUCUCACAAUGUGGUAAAAUUCUAAAAGUAGAAAAUAUAGUGAUGUCUAAAUAAUGUAAAGCCUGAGACUUGUCCUAGUGCUAAAAUGGUUGUAAACAAAUGAGAAGUCAUAUCAAAACUUUAAUUCUGAAGGUAAAAUGGUAUGGUCACCCGGAAGAUUUACUCAUCUUCAUAUUUUUUUUUUCCAAACCGAAGAACAUUAGGACUAGAAAUGUUAGUUAGAAUUGCAUCCACAGUCACUAUAUCUACUUUAAUUAUAUGGAAAAAAUUGCAAUGAAAGUGAAUGCAGACUGAGGUUGUAAGUCCCUAACACUCCUCCGUGUCUUUUUCUAAGAAGUUUUGAAGGACAUGAUGUUGAGUAAAUGAAGAUAGAAUUUCAGUUUUUGGAUGAACAAUAUGACCCUACAGAGGAUAAGUGGGAAUGGAAGCUAGACGGAUGAAUUCCUUUAAACAAUGAAUCGGCACGCUAUACCUUAUAGUAUACUUAAAUCUUCAAGGAAUGACCCAAGAUUAGAGUUGGACAAGUUCAAAAUUAUUAAUGACAUUUAUCCAUGUAAUGAAUUCCUCAGAUUUCAUUAGGAUCGUAAACGCUUUUCUGAAUUCAGACAAGGGUCAUUGGAACAUUUAUUUUAUUAAUGCAAAUAUAAAAAAAUAUAUAUAUAUUAGCCUGCCUGAUUUUUCACUCAGAAGUUUAAUGUUGAGUUUUGGCUAAUAAUAUGGUGGCUCUGGUCAAUUGUUUUAUAAAUAAAUGCAGAAUUUUUUAUUUAAUCCUCCGAUCCUUUUGCAUACCCAGAAGGAAUUGUUGUGAUCUUAAGUUUAUUUACAGCCCUUUUUUAUUUUAUUUUAUUUUUUAUUUAUUUUAUUUUUUUGUGAAUGUGAUUUUUAUUUCAUUUUAGGUGUUGUGUUGGUUUUGUAUUUUAUAAGUAAAGAAAAAAUCUUAAACUAAUGACUUGCCCGUCCAGAAGUGGGCGCAAUUGUGAAAUAAAAUCUGACUUUGGAGGAAGAACAGUAUGUAAACAGGAAGAUCACGUCAGCGUCGUCACAAAAGCAAACGACGGGAUUUUAGCAUUUCAUUCUUUGGUUAAUAGUUUAAUGGUUAAUAAUAACCGCGUACAGUAGGAAUACACGUUUAAUUUGUUAUCCCAAAAUAAAAAAAGUAUGUCGGAGGCAAACGGGAUGACAGAUGGCCAGUUGAUUCAGCAGUUGGCUCUGCUGGGUUGGCUGAAGACGGACAGUGUUGAGUGUAAACAGCUGCUCACCGCGGUCACUGGGAUGCAGGUGGCCCGUGAGCUUCUGGACAGACUCUCCGGGCAAAGCCGAAUAGAUGCUUACAGGAGGGAAUGUAUUCAGAGCAUUGCUGACUAUGUGAAGAAGAAUCCCCGGGCUUCUCAGCGGGAGCUCAAUGCAGAGGUUGAGAAGAACGUGCUGCUGUUUGCCUCCAGGGUUCAGGGACUAGAUAGUGGCCACUGAACACAUCACUGCUGCACUGACCUUUACAGCUCUUCUCUGUCCAAAAAUAUCCAUUUUUCUCCCAUUUUUUUUUUCAUCAUCUUGAAUAUUUGUUUUUGUGGACAACAUGUCAGCCUUUAUUGUUUUUUUAAUAAUACAUAUUAGAAAUGCUGAAUUGUACUGGUUAUUUUGUAACAUGAUUUCUGAUUAAAAUGUUACUGUGGUAUUCACCUUUAGUUAAGUUAUACAUAGAGAGAUUUAUCACUUAAGGAUUUGAAUCUUAUAUUUCAAACCUAAAAUAAAGGCAAUCAUAUCCAA
This is an RNA transcript of Carassius auratus (goldfish), 2671 nucleotides long. RefSeq lists it as uncharacterized. The record is from RefSeq and is a predicted model, not a curated record. Lineage: Eukaryota; Metazoa; Chordata; Actinopteri; Cypriniformes; Cyprinidae. The transcript has 5 exons.